Molecule: ribosomal RNA, 1904 nt
Filed under: Runella sp. CRIBMP
Lineage: Bacteria; Pseudomonadati; Bacteroidota; Cytophagia; Cytophagales; Spirosomataceae
Description: partial 23S ribosomal RNA
Rfam family: Bacterial large subunit ribosomal RNA
Source: RNAcentral
AGAAGCAACUAAGGGCGCAUGGGGGAUGCCUAAGGCUCUCAGCGGCGAAGAAGGACGCGAUAAGCUGCGAAAAUGGUAGGGGAGUGGCACAUACAUGUUGAUCCUACUGUGUCCGAAUGGGGCAACCCAACGACUUGAAGAGUCGUUAUCCCUACGGGGAGGCAAACGGGGGGAACUGAAACAUCUAAGUACCCCUAGGAAGAGAAAACAACAGUGAUACCGUAAGUAGUGGCGAGCGAACACGGCAUAGCCCAAACCUAAUCAGUUACGGCUGAAUAGGGGUUAUAGGACUGCUUAUUAGGCGAUAAUGGGAAUUGAAUGACUUGGGAAAGUCAGCCGGAGAAGGUGAGAGCCCUGUAAAUGUAAAAAUUAUCAACGUAGCAGUAUCCUGAGUAGGUGGGGACAGGAGGAAUCCCCUCUGAAUUCGGCGGCACCAUCCGCCAAGGCUAAAUACGACUGAGAGACCGAUAGUGAACGAGUACCGUGAGGGAAAGGUGAAAAGUACCGGGAGUACCGGGGUGAAAUAGAACCUGAAACCAUGCGCUUACAAGCGGGCGGAGCCCUUAGGGGUGACGCCGUGCCUUUUGCAUAAUGAGCCUACGAGUUGUUGUUGCUGGCAAGGUUAAGCAUUUAAGAUGCGCAGCCGAAGCGAAAGCGAGUCUGAACAGGGCGCUUAGUCAGUAAUAGCAGACGCGAAACUUGGUGAUCUACCCGUGGUCAGGUUGAAGUGUGGGUAACACUACAUGGAGGACCGAACCAGUAAACGUUGAAAAGUUUUUGGAUGAACUGCGGGUAGGGGUGAAAGGCCAAUCAAACUGAGAAAUAGCUCGUACUCCCCGAAAUGUUUUUAGGAACAGCGUUGUGGCGAGUCAGUGUCAGGUAGAGCUACCGAUAGGAUGCGGGGGAGUCAAAUCCUACCAAAUUCUGACGAACUCCGAAUGGGCACUGAUAUACACAGCAGUGAGGGCCGGGGUGCUAAGGUCACGGUCCGAGAGGGGAACAACCCAGAGCAACCGCUAAGGUCCCAAAGUAUAUACUAAGUUGAACAAAGGAAGUCCGACUGCCGAGACAGCCAGGAUGUUAGCUUGGAAGCAGCUAUACAUUUAAAGAGUGCGUAACAGCUCACUGGUCGAGCGGGGCGGGCGUCGAUAAUAAACGGGCAUCAAGUAUAUCACCGAAGCGAUGCGAUAGCGAUAUCGGUAGGGGAGCAUUCCAACAUCAGUGAAGCUGUAGCGUGAGCUAUGGUGGAGAGGUUGGAAAAGCAAAUGUAGGCAUAAGUAACGAUAAUGUAUGUGAGAACCAUACACACCGUAAAGCUAAGGAUUCCUCAGCUAUGUCAAUCAACUGAGGGUUAGUCGGGGCCUAAGGGGAAGGCGAAGGCCGCACCUGACGGACAGCAGGUUAAUAUUCCUGCACCUGAUGCAAGUGUGAAGCGCACGGGGUAGAGGAGGGUGUACGAAGUGACGGAAGUCUUCGUUGAGCAGAGUCUACGGACGAAGCGAACAUCUGAACUGGCCUCCAAGAAAAACCGCUGAAACAUCAGCUUGCAUGAGCCCGUACCGUAAACCGACACAGGUAGCUGGGUAGAAUAUACCAAGGUGCUCAAGUGAAUCACGGUUAAGGAACUCGGCAAAUUAGUCCUGUAACUUCGGGAAAAGGGACACUCUGGCGCGAGCUAGAGUCGCAGAGAAAUGGCCCAGGCGACUGUUUAACAAAAACACAGGGCAACGCAAAGUGGAGACACGACGUAUGUUGCCUGACACCUGCCCGGUGCUGGAAGGUUAAGAGGGGAAGUCAUCGCAAGAGAAGCUUUGAAUCGAAGCCCCAGUAAACGGCGGCCGUAACUAUAACGGUCCUAAGGUAGCGAAAUUCCUUGUCGGGUAAGUUCCGACCUGCACGAAUGG